GGGCGCUUGGUGAAAUGGUAUCACAACGGUCUCCAAAACCGUUAGUGGGGGUUCGAUUCCCUCAGCGCCCG
Molecule: transfer RNA, 71 nt
Filed under: Patescibacteria group bacterium
Lineage: Bacteria
Description: tRNA-Trp
Rfam family: tRNA
About the family: Transfer RNA (tRNA) molecules are approximately 80 nucleotides in length. Their secondary structure includes four short double-helical elements and three loops (D, anti-codon, and T loops).
Source: RNAcentral